GAUAAACGUUGGCGGUGUGCCUUAUGCAUGCAAGUCGUACGAGGCUAUGAUUUUCGGAUUGUAACCGAGUGGCGGACGGCUGAGUAACGCGUAAGCAACCUACCUGUGAGUGGGGGAUAACCUGUCGAAAGGCAGGCUAAUACCGCAAGGAUAAGCGAGUGAUGCUUGUUUAUUAAAGCCUCAGGGUGCUUGCAGAGGGGCUUGCGUCUGAUUAGCUAGUUGGCAGGGUAAUGGCCUACCAAGGCGGUGAUCAGUAGCUGGCCUGAGAGGGGGUCCAGCCAGAUGGGGACUGAGACACGGCCCCAACUCCUACGGGAGGCAGCAGCAAGGAAUAUUGGGCAAUGGGCGAAAGCCUGACCCAGCGACACCGCGUGAGGGAGGAAGGCCUUCGGGUUGUAAACCUCUUUUCUCGAGGAAGAAUUCUGACGGUACUCGAGGAAUAAGUCUUGGCUAACUACGUGCCAGCAGCCGCGGUAAUACGUAGAAGGCGAACGUUAUCCGGAUUUACUGGGCGUAAAGAGAGCGUAGGCGGCUCUUCAAGUCAGGCGUGAAAUCUUCUGACUCAAUCGGAAGGCGCCACUUGAUACUAGAGGGCUUGAGGGCAGCAGAAGGAAACGGAAUUCCCAGUGUAGCGGUGAAAUGCGUUGAUAUUGGGAAGAACACCAGUGGCGAAGGCGAUUUCCUAGGUUGUUUCUGACGCUGAGGCUCGAAAGCGUGGGGAGCGAAGCGGAUUAGAUACCCGCGUAGUCCACGCCUUAAACGGUGGACACUAGAUAUGGGAAGUAUCGACCCUUUUCGUGUCGAAGCUAACGCUUUAAGUGUCCCGCCUGGGGAGACGGCCGCAAGGCU
This 849-nucleotide ribosomal RNA is filed under the name uncultured Chloroflexota bacterium. RNAcentral describes it as "bacterial SSU rRNA". It matches the Rfam family "Bacterial small subunit ribosomal RNA", at positions 28 to 895 of the family's 1533-position model. Lineage: Bacteria; Bacillati; Chloroflexota. The record is from RNAcentral.